AACGAACGCUGGCGGCAUGCCUAACACAUGCAAGUCGAACGAGACCUUCGGGUCUAGUGGCGCACGGGUGCGUAACGCGUGGGAACCUGCCCUUAGGUUCGGAAUAACUCCCCGAAAGGGGUGCUAAUGCCGGAUAAUGUCUUCGGACCAAAUAUUUAUCGCCUUUGGUGGGGCGCGCGUUGGAUUAGCUAGUUGGUAGGGUAAAAGCCUACCAAGGCUAGGAUCCAUAGCUGGUCUGAGAGGAUGAUCAGCCACACUGGGACUGAGACACGGCCCAGAAUCCUACGGGAGGCAGCAGUGGGGAAUACUGGACAAUGGGCGAAAGCCUGAUCCAGCAAUGCCGCGUGAGUGAUGAAGGCCUGAAGGUUGUAAAGCUCUUUUACCCGGGAUGAUAAUGACAGUACCGAGAGAAUAAGCUCCGGCUAACUCCGAG
RNAcentral lists this ribosomal RNA (433 nucleotides) under uncultured bacterium. RNAcentral describes it as "partial 16S ribosomal RNA". It matches the Rfam family "Bacterial small subunit ribosomal RNA", at positions 29 to 507 of the family's 1533-position model. The record is from RNAcentral.